RNAcentral lists this long non-coding RNA (606 nucleotides) under Cyanistes caeruleus (blue tit). RNAcentral describes it as "lncRNA (ENSCCEG00000010254.1)". Lineage: Eukaryota; Metazoa; Chordata; Aves; Passeriformes; Paridae. The record is from RNAcentral.
CUACAGCUCCUCACUGGUUCCACAGACCUGCUUUGUCAGAGUGUCAGUAACUUUGUAGAAGUCACUGCAUCCUCUGCUGUGCUUGGGAUGAACUCUGGCACCUGUCUGAAUGUAGGUACAUCCCUCCUGCAGAUCUGCUUUUCUUAUCCAGACUUUGACCUGAGACCAGGGCCUGGAUGAUGUUUUGAGACUAGGCCUACCUUUUCUGGAUGAUCUGAUGGAUCCACAUUGUGAUGCACUAGGAUUAAAGCAUACCUGAGGUUCUAGUAAAAUUCUGCUCCUGAAUCAAGCUCAAACCUCAUUGCUGCUCCCUGCCUUCAGCUGGAAAUGGACAGACAACAUUUGUGACUGAAUAUCCUGAGUCACCGAUUCCCAGCUGGCAUGUGCACUGCAGUUCCAUCUCUUCCUUUCCGACUGCUCUCCCUAGAGGAGAUUUGGAACAACUGCAGUCGUCAGCUCCAGCGCGGUGUGUGUGCUUGCCGGGAUCCACACAAUUGGUGGAUAACCCCUGUCUACGUCUAUGGGGUCACCAGUGUUUGCCUGGGACAGUUCAUCCUGUUAGCAGGCACUGAUCCGGCUGUGGAGGAGAUAUGUGGCUUGUGCUGA